Molecule: ribosomal RNA, 555 nt
Filed under: uncultured bacterium
Lineage: Bacteria
Description: partial 16S ribosomal RNA
Rfam family: Bacterial small subunit ribosomal RNA
Source: RNAcentral
UAGGGAAUCUUCCACAAUGGACGCAAGUCUGAUGGAGCAACGCCGCGUGAGUGAAGAAGGCUUUCGGGUCGUAAAACUCUGUUGUUGGAGAAGAAUGGUCGGCAGAGUAACUGUUGUCGGCGUGACGGUAUCCAACCAGAAAGCCACGGCUAACUACGUGCCAGCAGCCGCGGUAAUACGUAGGUGGCAAGCGUUAUCCGGAUUUAUUGGGCGUAAAGCGAGCGCAGGCGGUUUUUUAAGUCUGAUGUGAAAGCCCUCGGCUUAACCGAGGAAGCGCAUCGGAAACUGGGAAACUUGAGUGCAGAAGAGGACAGUGGAACUCCAUGUGUAGCGGUGAAAUGCGUAGAUAUAUGGAAGAACACCAGCGGCGAAGGCGGCUGUCUGGUCUGUAACUGACGCUGAGGCUCGAAAGCAUGGGUAGCGAACAGGAUUAGAUACCCUGGUAGUCCAUGCCGUAAACGAUGAAUGCUAGGUGUUGGAGGGUUUCCGCCCUUGCAGUGCUGCAGCUAACGCAUUAAGCAUUCCGCCUGGGGAGUACGACCGCAAGGUUGAAAC